RNAcentral lists this ribosomal RNA (585 nucleotides) under uncultured bacterium. Its description in RNAcentral is "partial 16S ribosomal RNA". It matches the Rfam family "Bacterial small subunit ribosomal RNA", at positions 355 to 1375 of the family's 1533-position model. The record is from RNAcentral.
UGGGGAAUUUUGGACAAUGGGCGAAAGCCUGAUCCAGCAAUGCCGCGUGUGUGAAGAAGGCCUUCGGGUUGUAAAGCACUUUUGUCCGGAAAGAAAUCCUUGGCUCUAAUACAGUCGGGGGAUGACGGUACCGGAAGAAUAAGCACCGGCUAACUACGUGCCAGCAGCCGCGGUAAUACGUAGGGUGCAAGCGUUAAUCGGAAUUACUGGGCGUAAAGCGUGCGCAGGCGGUUUGCUAAGACCGAUGUGAAAUUCCCGGGCUCAACCUGGGAACUGCAUUGGUGACUGGCAGGCUAGAGUAUGGCAGAGGGGGGUAGAAUUCCACGUGUAGCAGUGAAAUGCGUAGAGAUGUGGAGGAAUACCGAUGGCGAAGGCAGCCCCCUGGGCCAAUACUGACGCUCAUGCACGAAAGCGUGGGGAGCAAACAGGAUUAGAUACCCUGGUAGUCCACGCCCUAAACGAUGUCAACUAGUUGUUGGGGAUUCAUUUCCUUAGUAACGUAGCUAACGCGUGAAGUUGACCGCCUGGGGAGUACGGUCGCAAGAUUAAAACUCAAAGGAAUUGACGGGGUCAUAGCUGUUUCCU